This 72-nucleotide transfer RNA is filed under the name Phakopsora pachyrhizi. RNAcentral's name for it is "tRNA-Ser". It matches the Rfam family "tRNA". From Rfam's summary of the family: Transfer RNA (tRNA) molecules are approximately 80 nucleotides in length. Their secondary structure includes four short double-helical elements and three loops (D, anti-codon, and T loops). Further hydrogen bonds mediate the characteristic L-shaped molecular structure. tRNAs have two regions of fundamental functional importance: the anti-codon, which is responsible for specific mRNA codon recognition, and the 3' end, to which the tRNAs corresponding amino acid is attached (by aminoacyl-tRNA synthetases). tRNAs cope with the degeneracy of the genetic code in two manners: having more than one tRNA (with a specific anti-codon) for a particular amino acid; and 'wobble' base-pairing, i.e. permitting non-standard base-pairing at the 3rd anti-codon position. Lineage: Eukaryota; Fungi; Basidiomycota; Pucciniomycetes; Pucciniales; Phakopsoraceae. The record is from RNAcentral.
GGUCACUUAGCUCAGUGGUUAGAGCUUCACUUUUGAAUGUUGAGUUUGCAGGUUUGAUUCAUGCAGUGCACA